RNAcentral lists this ribosomal RNA (500 nucleotides) under uncultured bacterium. RNAcentral's name for it is "partial 16S ribosomal RNA". It matches the Rfam family "Bacterial small subunit ribosomal RNA", at positions 30 to 523 of the family's 1533-position model. The record is from RNAcentral.
AUUGAACGCUGGCGGAAUGCUUUACACAUGCAAGUCGAACGGCAGCACGGACUUCGGUCUGGUGGCGAGUGGCGAACGGGUGAGUAAUGUAUCGGAACGUGCCCAGUCGUGGGGGAUAACGUAGUGAAAAUUACGCUAAUACCGCAUACGAUCUAUGGAUGAAAGCGGGGGAUCGCAAGACCUCGCGCGAUUGGAGCGGCCGAUAUCAGAUGAGGUAGUUGGUGGGGUAAAGGCCCACCAAGCCAACGAUCUGUAGCGGGUCGCAGAGGACGACCAGCCACACUGGAACUGAGACACGGUCCAGAAUCCUACGGGAGGCAGCAGUGGGGAAUUUUGGACAAUGGGCGAAAGCCUGAUCCAGCCAUUCCGCGUGCAGGAUGAAGGCCCUCGGGUUGUAAACUGCUUUUGUACAGAACGAAAAGGUUUCUACUAAUACUAGGAGCUCAUGACGGUACUGUAAGAAUAAGCACCGGCUAACUACGUGCCAGCCGCCGCAGUAA